RNAcentral lists this long non-coding RNA (1302 nucleotides) under Lathyrus oleraceus (garden pea). RNAcentral's name for it is "Pisum sativum (pea) long non-coding RNA (PSAT_LNC038805)". The record is from RNAcentral. Lineage: Eukaryota; Viridiplantae; Streptophyta; Magnoliopsida; Fabales; Fabaceae.
GUAACCCAUUUAUUUAACCCAAUUUGCAGUUGUGGGGGAUUGGAUCGUAAUCCACCCUACCAAGUUCAGCACCAGAUACCUCUGAACCAACCAACAAUAGGCAUAUUCUUAUAUAUAUAUAUAUAUUUUUUUUUUCUUCUGCAUGUUUCGCAUAUGUCUUUAUUUUACUGGGUUAAAUGACUGUGUAAGAGUCACCUAGCCCGAAUUUUCAUAUGACUUGAGAACAAAGCAGGAAAUUUUUUUGUGAUCAUUCACUUAUUUUCAUCGGUCCCUUACGUAGAGCAUGCUUAAGCCGGAGCUGACUGCAAGGAUAAACUACUUAAGGACUUAUUUGGAACAAAAAUUGGGGCCACAGCAUAUGGGGUAUCGGGAUAGACUCUUAUAAUCAUGAACCCUACGGUGUUAAGACAAUACAUGUUUUUAGAAAAAGUUUUCCUAAAUCUUUUAAAUCUCGUCAUAAACCUGUCUUAUAGCCUGAAUAUUCAAGAUGCACUGUUUUCUUUGCUCACAAAUUUUUUUUGGUAAGAUUAAAGAAAUGGAAGAAAUACGGAUACACUACACAGAUGACUCGUCAAACACAUGUUAUUUUAUUGAAAGGAAAAGCAAACAACUAAAAACGCACAAAACAUACUAAAAAUAAAGAAAAACAAUAAAAAACGAUAAAAAUCUCCUCCCGCGCUUAAACCGAACAUUGUCCCCAAUGUUUCGAUAUGAGAUAGGGUAGGAGUAACCUGGAAGAGAGAGAAAGAGAACCAUGGGCGAUCACCGUACCGUCACCGUCACGAGCAUUUACUUUAACAAAUAUUGUAGACUCGAAGACACGAGGAGGAAUUGGGUGAAGGGGGAAUAAGGAAACAACAAAAUUAAAUGAGGGAUAUUGUUGUUAAGGACAGACGAGGGCAUGAGGUUUAUAGGGUAACAUGCCAUAUUAGCAUAAUAUCCCCCAUAACCAGAAUGGAACAUUACCAUAGAGAAGUAAGGUCCAAGCGGUUUCUACAAGAUGCAUAUUUUUACGUCUGGCUACCCCAUUUUGUGAAGGUGUAUGAGGGCAAGAUGUUGUAUCGAAUAAAACUGAGACGAUGACAAAUCCCUGCAACCACAAUUGAAGGAAAACCACUUCAGCAAAUUUGUACAAAUCAGAACAUAUGCAGGAUGACUUUUUAUCUAAAGUCCCAAUAAAAAGAUUUUGAUAGUCAUAGUUGGAAAUUACUAGGAUCUGAAAUGAAUUAUAAACAAUAUGCAAAUUUUCAUGUUGAUGUACAUAAAUAUCUAUUAAAGACACAUUUACCACAUAUGGAUAAC